CCUACGGGAGGCAGCAGUAGGGAAUAUUGCUCAAUGGGGGAAACCCUGAAGCAGCAACGCCGCGUGGAGGAUGAAGGUUUUAGGAGUGUAAACUCCUUUUGAGAGAGAAGAGAAUGACGGUAUCUCACGAAUAAGAACCGGCUAACUCCGUGCCAGCAGCCGCGGUAAGACGGAGGGUGCAAGCGUUACUCGGAACGACUGGGCGUAAAGAGUGCGAAGGCGGGCUUGUAAGUCAGAUGUUAAAUCCUGUAUCUUAACUACAGAACUGCAUUUGAAACUCUGAGUCUAGAGUGUGGGAGAGGUAGGUGGAAUUCUUGGUGUAGUGGUCAAAUCCUUAGAUAUCAAGAGGAAUACUCAUUGCGAAGGCGACCUACUGGAACAUUACUGACGCUCAUGCACG
This 400-nucleotide ribosomal RNA is filed under the name uncultured bacterium. RNAcentral's name for it is "partial 16S ribosomal RNA". It matches the Rfam family "Bacterial small subunit ribosomal RNA", at positions 338 to 755 of the family's 1533-position model. The record is from RNAcentral.